This 117-nucleotide ribosomal RNA is filed under the name Danio rerio (zebrafish). Lineage: Eukaryota; Metazoa; Chordata; Actinopteri; Cypriniformes; Danionidae. The record is from RNAcentral.
UGCCACAGCCACAUCACCCUGCAGCCUAACACCGGUUACUCACUGAAGCUAAGCAGGGCUGAGCCUGGUCAGUACCUGGAUGGGAGACCACUAGGGAACACUAGGUUGCUGUUGGAA